Molecule: non-coding RNA, 222 nt
Organism: Pelobates cultripes (western spadefoot toad)
Lineage: Eukaryota; Metazoa; Chordata; Amphibia; Anura; Pelobatidae
Source: the annotation of a GenBank genome assembly
CCCUAUUCCAAAGGUCCAGUCAAAACCAGUCAUAUCCUCACACAGUUCCUCAAAACAUGGGAAUCCAUCCUUGACACACUCAACAUAUAUCAAAAACACACAUAGUACAUCCAUCCCUGGGUCAGCUAACACUUCCUCUCUCUCCGGCUAACUCUACAAAAAUAGAAAUAGUUCAAUAGUUCAGCAUAGUUCAGAAAAAUAGAAUAAGUUUUCACAGAGUAU